RNAcentral lists this long non-coding RNA (228 nucleotides) under Jatropha curcas. RNAcentral's name for it is "long non-coding RNA (JCUR_LNC001269)". Lineage: Eukaryota; Viridiplantae; Streptophyta; Magnoliopsida; Malpighiales; Euphorbiaceae. The record is from RNAcentral.
AGUAGAUUGAGAGUUAUAUAAUUAAGAAUUAUGGCAUGUAUUAAGAUUUAUGGCAUGUAUAAUUAUUAUGUUUGUUAGAGCUUAUGUGAUUGUAAAUAUAAUUGAAACAUGUAAUUAUUUUGGUGUAAGUAGUUGGAGAUAAGAAUAAUACUUAUGAAAUGAUUGAAGAUGAAAUAGUUUACUAUAGUUGGUAUGAUUAGGUCAUGAAAAACUUGAUAUAGAUUCUGA